Molecule: ribosomal RNA, 253 nt
Filed under: uncultured bacterium
Lineage: Bacteria
Description: partial 16S ribosomal RNA
Rfam family: Bacterial small subunit ribosomal RNA
Source: RNAcentral
UACGUAGGGUGCAAGCGUUGUCCGGAAUUAUUGGGCGUAAAGAGCUCGUAGGCGGUCUGUCGCGUCGGCUGUGAAAACCCGGGGCUCAACCCCGGGCCUGCAGUCGAUACGGGCAGACUAGAGUUCGGUAGGGGAGUCUGGAAUUCCUGGUGUAGCGGUGAAAUGCGCAGAUAUCAGGAGGAACACCGGUGGCGAAGGCGGAUCUCUGGGCCGUAACUGACGCUGAGGAGCGAAAGCAUGGGGAGCGAACAGG